This 497-nucleotide ribosomal RNA is filed under the name uncultured bacterium. RNAcentral's name for it is "partial 16S ribosomal RNA". It matches the Rfam family "Bacterial small subunit ribosomal RNA", at positions 28 to 507 of the family's 1533-position model. The record is from RNAcentral.
GAUGAACGCUGGCGGCGUGCCUAAUACAUGCAAGUCGAGCGAACAGAUGAGGAGCUUGCUCCUCUGACGUUAGCGGCGGACGGGUGAGUAACACGUGGAUAACCUACCUAUAAGACUGAGAUCACUUCGGGAAACCGGAGCUAAUACCGGAUAAUAUAUUGAACCGCAUGGUUCAAUAGUGAAAGACGGCUUUGCUGGCUGUAAUAGCUGGAUCCGAGCCGCAUGAGCUAGUUGGUAAGGUAACGGCUUAUCAAGGCAACGAUGCGUAGCCGAACUGAUAGGGGGAUCGGCCGCAUUGGAACUGAGACACGGACCAGACUCCUACGGGAGGGAGCAGUAGGGAACGUGCCGCAAUGGGCGAAAGCCUGACGGAGCAACGCCGCGUGUGUUGUGGAGGUCUUCGGAGCGUAAUACUCUGUUAUUAGUGAAGAACAGAUGUGGAAGUAGCCAUGGAGGUAUUGACGGUACCUGAUCAGAAAGCACCGGCUAACUACGUG